GUACUCGUAGGGCCACGGGAGCUGGCUG
Molecule: small RNA, 28 nt
Filed under: Bombyx mori (domestic silkworm)
Lineage: Eukaryota; Metazoa; Arthropoda; Insecta; Lepidoptera; Bombycidae
Description: ovarian small RNA-17640
Source: RNAcentral